AGUGAACGCUGGCGGUAGGCCUAACACAUGCCAGUCGAACGGCAGCACAGUAAGAGCUUGCUCUUACGGGUGGCGAGUGGCGGACGGGUGAGGAAUACAUCGGAAUCUACUUUUUCGUGGGGGAUAACGUAGGGAAACUUACGCUAAUACCGCAUACGACCUACGGGUGAAAGCAUGGGAUCUUCGGACCUUGCGCGAUUGAAUGAGCCGAUGUCGGAUUAGCUAGUUGGCGGGGUAAAGGCCCACCAAGGCGACGAUCCGUAGCUGGUCUGAGAGGAUGAUCAGCCACACUGGAGCUGAGACACGGCCCAGACUCCUACGGGAGGCAGCAGUGGGGAAUAUUGGACAAUGGGCGCAAGCCUGAUCCAGCCAUACCGCGUGGGUGAAGAAGGCCUUCGGGUUGUAAAGCCCUUUUGUUGGGAAAGAAAAGCAGCAGGUUAAUACCCCGCUGUUCUGACGGUACCCAAAGAAUAAGCACCGGCUAACUUCGUG
Molecule: ribosomal RNA, 492 nt
Filed under: uncultured bacterium
Lineage: Bacteria
Description: partial 16S ribosomal RNA
Rfam family: Bacterial small subunit ribosomal RNA
Source: RNAcentral